UGGACGUCUGGACUCAUAUUCCAC
This 24-nucleotide non-coding RNA is filed under the name Arabidopsis thaliana (thale cress). The record is from RNAcentral. Lineage: Eukaryota; Viridiplantae; Streptophyta; Magnoliopsida; Brassicales; Brassicaceae.